CAGCACGGUGUAGCAAUACACUGGUGGCGACCGGCGCACGGGUGCGUAACGCGUAUGCAACUUACCUAUCAGAGGGGGAUAACCCGGCGAAAGUCGGACUAAUACCGCAUGAAGCAGGGGCCCCGCAUGGGGAUAUUUGCUAAAGAUUCAUCGCUGAUAGAUAGGCAUGCGUUCCAUUAGGCAGUUGGCGGGGUAACGGCCCACCAAGGCGACGAUCAGUAGGGGUUCUGAGAGGAAGGUCCCCACAUUGGAACUGAGACACGGUCCAAACUCC
Molecule: ribosomal RNA, 274 nt
Filed under: uncultured Parabacteroides sp.
Lineage: Bacteria; Pseudomonadati; Bacteroidota; Bacteroidia; Bacteroidales; Tannerellaceae
Description: partial 16S ribosomal RNA
Rfam family: Bacterial small subunit ribosomal RNA
Source: RNAcentral